CACAUUACUUCACUUGUUCCCUUCCAGGGUCCGCCUAGGCCUGUUUAGUUGUAACCGCUUCCCUAACCUUAUUUCUAGAAGUGUUUAAUUUACGGGGGAAGGACGCUAGUAUGCCUGGAGAUUAAUAUGAGCAUUCUUGAAGACAUAUGGGAGAGUUUUCUUGACUUCAGCACUAGUUGGAGGGUCCAUGCUGACAUGUUAUAACCAAGGGGCAAAGGCAGUUGAUAGGAAGUUUUCCACAGGAGGCUUUGAACAUAGAACCUGAGUAUGUGAAGCUGAAGAACCUCCAGUGUUUGAAACUGUUGCCUGGGAAUGGCUGGUGAAGACACAACAGGCUACUAAAGGCUCAGCAGGUACUGUGAUGAUUUGUGAAUUUUGGAGAUUAGUGACGAUGCUGUAAUUGCUUAUAGUUCUGAGUCAUAUGUAUAAGUGGUCAAUAAAUCCAUUCACCAUCUCAGACCCUGUCUA
Long non-coding RNA from Cryptotermes secundus, 468 nucleotides. RefSeq lists it as uncharacterized. NCBI's taxonomy places the organism in Eukaryota, Metazoa, Arthropoda, Insecta, Blattodea, Kalotermitidae. The record is from RefSeq and is a predicted model, not a curated record. The transcript is spliced from 3 exons.